Molecule: long non-coding RNA, 1202 nt
Organism: Nilaparvata lugens (brown planthopper)
Lineage: Eukaryota; Metazoa; Arthropoda; Insecta; Hemiptera; Delphacidae
Exons: 3
Source: RefSeq, a predicted model, not a curated record
UUUAAAUUUGCCGCUUGCAAGGCCGCCAACCUAACUCCACACAUUACACUUGAUUCUCUUAUAAUAGAUUUCUUUCAAACAAUAACUUCAAUGUACAAAUUUUCUGGGGCUUAUAUUUUAUUGUAAUUCCUAGGUCUUAAUAUAAAUAAUUUUCCAUAUAUCAGGUACAGUUCUUUCUUUUGCAACAUGGUUUAGGCUUUUGUGGUAACUAGCAUUCAAUUGAGGUUUUUUAGUAACAAACAUGGCAUAAACCAAUGGUAAUAAAUUAUAAAACAUAUAAGUUUGGGUACAAUAUUUUUUUUUCAUAAACAUAUGUUUGAGGGCUACAUACAUUCAAUAUAGAUGGCUUUGGCCAGCUGACUACUAGUUCUAGAUUUCAUACUGCUUACAGCAGAAUUUGCUAUCUAAACUCAUAGUUAACCUAACUACUACAUUUUUUCCUUUUAAAGGUAAUUAACAAAUUUUAAUUUUACUAUCCCCGCUUGUGUCCUUUUUUAUCUGAUGUAUAUUAUCAAAUUACAUACUUAAAAAAUUGUUCUUUGACUGUUUCAGGCUUCUAACAGUUGGAAGGAAUUAAAACGUCGGAUUGUUGCCAUGCGGUCUAUGCCAAGAUUAAAUUUAUCAUGAUAGGAAAGCUGCACUGAAUUCGUCCAACGUCCUGAAUUCGUGAUUAUGGAUCUGGAAGAACAUCAGAGGUUCACCGCUCAACAAACUGGAUAAUCGAAGACGCCAAAAAUUCCAAGAGGAUUCUUGGCGGUGAUUGAAGAUAUCUGGGCAGUGGACUCCAUCUCGCCCCCCUCAGCGUCGAUCUCCGCUACUAUCGCCGUCUGCAAUGUGUCUGCUACCUCACUUUGCACGGACGAAAAGAGACUCAUAUUUUAAAAAUGGAUAAAGUGUCAAGUGUUUGUAAAAAAGUGAAAGUUUUGGUUAACAAAAUAUUUAGUGAGGACACAAAUGAGGAUAGGCCUAUGGACAUACAAGCCAGGUAACCUAUUUAUUACUUAAGCUCUUAUGAUAUAAUAAUACUAUUCAUUGAUUUCUGACUAGCUUACAGACUGUGACUUAUACUUAAAAUAUUAAUGACAAAUUUCAGCAGUUUAGGCCCAUAAAAUAUAAUAGCUCUCUCUAUAAAAUAUAUUUUCUACAAUAAUAAUAAUAUAAAAAUUUCUUUAAAACACAUAAUUUCUCCUUAUUUAAAGCUA